RNAcentral lists this ribosomal RNA (453 nucleotides) under uncultured bacterium. RNAcentral's name for it is "bacterial SSU rRNA". It matches the Rfam family "Bacterial small subunit ribosomal RNA", at positions 335 to 780 of the family's 1533-position model. The record is from RNAcentral.
ACUCCUACGGGAGGUAGCAGUGGGGAAUAUUGCACAAUGGGCGCAAGCCUGAUGCAGCCAUGCCGCGUGUAUGAAGAAGGCCUUCGGGUUGUAAAGUACUUUCAGCAGUGAGGAAGGUGGGUAUGUUAAUAGCAUACUCAUUGACGUUAGCUGCAGAAGAAGCACCGGCUAACUCCGUGCCAGCAGCCGCGGUAAUACGGAGGGUGCGAGCGUUAUCCGGAUUUAUUGGGUUUAAAGGGUCCGUAGGCGGGUUAAUAAGUCAGUGGUGAAAUCCCAUCGCUUAACGAUGGAACUGCCAUUGAUACUGUUAGUCUUGAAUGAGGGUGCAGUGGUUGGAAUGUGUAGUGUAGCGGUGAAAUGCAUAGAUAUUACACAGAACACCGAUUGCGAAGGCAGAUCACUAACCCUAAAUUCGACGCUGAGGGACGAAAGCGUGGGGAGCGAACAGGAUUA